This is a non-coding RNA of Brachypodium distachyon (stiff brome), 126 nucleotides long. The record is from Rfam. Lineage: Eukaryota; Viridiplantae; Streptophyta; Magnoliopsida; Poales; Poaceae.
UUUAUACUCCCUCCGAUCCAUAUUAAUUGUCUCAAAUUUGCCCAAAUAUGGAUGUAUCUAUGCCUAACAGGCGUCUAGAUACAUGUAAUAUUUUCGAUAAUUAAUAUGGAUCGGAGGGAGUACAUA